RNAcentral lists this unclassified non-coding RNA (396 nucleotides) under Hevea brasiliensis (rubber tree). Lineage: Eukaryota; Viridiplantae; Streptophyta; Magnoliopsida; Malpighiales; Euphorbiaceae. The record is from RNAcentral.
GGGGAUCAAUUUACCGUUCCAUCAUAUUCAAAGGUAUCUUUGUUUCAGCAGCCAACCAAUCAAGAUAGUGAUGAGGAGCUGGAAUAUGCAGAUAAUAGCAGUGGCAUUGUAGAAUUUGCAGAUACAACAGACAAGUCAAAUAGUGCACUGAUGUCCAAAUCGCUGGAAAUGCAAGGCUGGCCUGCAUCUGAGCUAGGCAAGGGAGGUCUAGGACAUGUUUGGUCAAUUUGUGAAGGAAGUGUUGAAGAAGAAUGGAGGCACUCAGUUGCACCCAUUCCUGCCGAUAAACUUGAGAAGGUUCUGCAUAAAGCAACAGAUGAUGAGCUGGAGUCAACUCAAGAUGCUAAUAUUUUACCACCUUCAGGGGAGUUGAAGUCCGACUCAUACGUCUCAGAU